CCCCUGGGUCAGCCUCCUAAACAGCUUAUCCCUUCAGAGGGAGCUAAGCACCCAGAAAACAGGGGUAGAGGCUACAUACCUCCUUCUUAGGUUGUCACUGGAGUGUGCACAGGGGUUUCCCACUCGUGCCCAGAAUUGUCCCCCUGCAGGAGGAGGAAGCAGGGUCCCUCAGACAUAUGAGCACAACAACAGCUCGGUCCCAGACUCCGGCCUCACCCCUCCUGCCUCUCAGCUGGAGCAGAAACCAGUCAGGAAGGACCCUCAGCCCCAGAGGAAACCAUCUGCAGACAGCGUCUCGGGGACACAGGCAGGACAGUGCAGCCUCCUGAGCCAAGCCCAAGCCUCUGGAAGAAAGCUCCCUUCUACGUUACAGCCGAGACCAAAAGCCAACACCAUUCAAGUGAGAGGCAGAGACCAAGAUGAGCCUUGUGGUCACAGGGGGGUGGGGGAACUGGGGGAAGCUGGUGCAAAAGGUCCCCCUCCACUUAGAAGAUGACCGAGUCCUAGGGGUGUGACGGCCAGCAGGAUAUGUGUAACCUACACGGCCGGACACUGUAGAGCAAGCUUAUUCAAAGUCUUAUUCUUAAGAGUUCUCAUCACAAGGGAAAAAGUUUUUUUCUAUUUCUGAAUUGGGUUUCUCCAGGAAAUGAUCGAUGUUCCCUAAAAUUGUUCUGGACGUGAUUUCAUGAUAUAAGUCAUAUCUCCCUGCUGGACAUGUGCGGCUUACCUGGUGCCGUGUGUCCGUUCUACCUCAAAACUGGAGGAAAAGUGGGGGAAUAUAUUCCACAGUGCUUUGCAGCUCUGCAGAGUUGUAUGACUUUUAUGAGCCAAGAGGGGUCCUGAGGGCAUGAAGGCAAAUGGGGGGUCAGGUUGCCUAGAUAUAGGGAGUCGCUCUGUUGUGUUACAGGCACUAAAACAGUGCUGAAGGUCCAUUCUGUUCCAGACACCAACUCGCAGAAAGAGAGAUGAGAGCUCUGGUUCCCGCAGGCGGGAGGGGGGAGGCGGGGAAUGUACCGCCAUCCUGUCGUGAGAUAAACUCGUCCCGGGAUGAAAUGUGCAUGAUCAAUGCCACUAACACCCACGCACGUCAUCCCCAGAGUCGUUGAGACGGCCAAUCCUAAGAGUUCCUAUCAGAGGAAAAACGGUUUUCCUGUUCUUUCAUUUUGUAUCUACAGGAGGUGACGGAGCUUCAGAAAACUUACACUAGACGUCACGUCAGGAUGUGAGUCACAUCGCAAGGCUGGACACCUCAGUGAAACUGGAUGAAGGACAAGGUAAAUCUAAUGGUAAAAAAUGAAAUCUAAGAACUGUCUAUGUAUUAACUCUAAAAAAUUCACCCCACGUUUGCGUAGAUGAAUGUCCUUCAUAUGUUCCUUUUUGGGUAUUUUUCUUUCUUGCUUUUGUUUCCCCCCUGAGGUGUACAGAGGCUUGAUGUGGAAUCUCAGUUCCCAGCCCAGGGAUGGAACAUGGGCCACGGCAGUCAAACGAGCUGAAACUGAACCCUAGACCCCCAGAGAACUCCCUUCUGGACGCACUCUUAUUAGAAAAUUAAGAGCUUCUGCAUUUCCAUCCAAUUAGCCAGGAAGAACUAUAGAAAUGGAAGACAAUUUUCUGGCUUAUUAUUGUAUCCUUGUCCCUGUCUUUGGGGCAACAACCCUAAGUACAAAUCACAAAGCGGGGAGGAAAAAGUGUGUCUCCGUCAGAACCCAGAGACAGUGCACCUGCUGGUGAAAGAAGACAUCUCAUGAGAUGAACUCUGGGUGAGAGAGAGGCAGGCGAGUGGGAGGCCCUGAGCUGCGGCCACAAGCAGCAGGAGGGAGGUUUCUGGGAGAAAGAAACCCCAAGGCAAAGGCUCAUGUCCACCUAGCUUAUUCUGUAAGGAUGCUGCCAAAACUCAGCCACUGUUUACCUUGGAGAAGGAUUUUUGGGGGAAGGAGGAAGAAAUAACUUAAAUUGCUUUGCCAGGCAAAUGGGGUCACAGCAGGCUGCUGCCCUAAAGACUGGCCCCCUUUGGGAGAGAUGAGGAGGGGGGUGGGUUUACAGUUUGGGAGUAUUAAGUAGGGCCACAAGUAAGGUUCAGGGUGGGUGCAAGCUUGCAUUCUUCUUCAGAGCUGGUGUUGAGGGAGCACAGGACAGGUGCUGGGGUCCUCCUCUCUGGCUGUCAUUAGUUGGGGGUUUAGUUCUGCACAAGAGCUCAAAGGCUUUGUUCUGUGUGUAUCCCUUGAGGGGGAACCAGGACCUGCCCCCCAGGCGGCACUGAGGUCCCCUGCCUACCCCUCCCUGGUUUCUGCAUCCCCUCUCUCCCCUCAUCAGCACCUGUGGGCACCUGUCCUUCAGGGUUCAGGGAAGGGCCUGGAGGCUGAAGCGUAUUCCCUAAACACAAGACAUGGGAGACACAGCGAGGCUGGUGCUUUUCCCACUGGGGCCACAGGCCUGAGGCCCAGGCCCUCAGGAAGCAGACACUGAGUCAAGCACAGGUCAGGUACAUUGUCCGGGUUCCCCACAAAGUCUCAUCCCUACCCUUUGGCAUCAGACAGAGAAAAGCAGAGAGACAGACAAAUAUGCUACUGGGUGAAAUGCCCAACCCCAGAGGCUCCGGGGCCUAACAUUAGAACCUGGAGAAGAUGUGUUACACUUUUGAAAGCUCUACCGUGAAUUCAACCAUGAAAGAGAAAACCGACCAUAUGACCCCGUGACCCCACUCCUGGACACACAUCCAGAAAAUACACAAAGUCUAAAUCAAAAAGAUCCAUGCACCCCCAUGUUCAUGGCAGAAGUAUUCCCAAGAGCCAAGGCCCAGAAACAACCUAAAUGUCCACGACAGGGGACUGGAUGAGAAGAUGUGGUGCAUAUGCACAGUGGAAGCCCACUCAGCCAAGACAAAGAGUGAAACUCUGCCACUGCAGCAACAGGGAUGGACGUGCAGGGCAUUAUGUUAAGUGACAUGAGUCAGCCAGAGAAAGACCAAUACUCUAUCACAGCACUCAAAUAUGGAAUGUAGACAAUACAGCAAUCGAGUGAGUAUAACAGAAGUACCAGACUCUCAGAAAACUUGGGGUGACCCAUCUGGGGGGGAGCAUAGGGGGAAGGGAUUAAGAGAUACAAAUGACUAUGUAGAAAAUAUACAAGCUGCAAGGGGAUCCUGUACAGCACAGGGAAGAGAGCCCAUAGUUUACAAUAAACAUGAAUGGAAUAUGUCGUCAAACAAGAAAAAGGCCCAUCUUCCCAGGCUCUGCACAGCCGUGCUGGCCGGGGCUAGAAGCUGGUUCUGCAGCACAGCUCCAACCUCCUUCCACACCCGUGUGUACUCACUGCUCCAGGGUCGCCAGGACCCAGGGCACCACAUGAGCAAGGCAGGGACCCUCCAACCUGCUGUGGGAGGGGAAUCUGGGGCCAUUCCCUCUCCCUUCUCCAGAUCCUGCUGCUACUGCUGCCCUAAGUAGCUCACGUCUCUUCCCAGCCCCAUUAUUCACCGGUCCAAGGAAUCUUCCUUCAUCCCAAACAGGCUCACAAAAUCAAACCCCAUACCAUUCCCUCAGGCUUGAUACCCACACCAUUACUCAGGAAAACACAUCCCCAAACUCCUCAGGCACCUCUGCCAGACCGCUGAGGGAAUUAAAUGGUGUAUCAGGGCCUGCAGAGCAGCCGAACCAAUAGAAUGUUUGAAAGCAGAGGGAGAGACAGAGUCAUUUUAAGGAAUCGUCUCAUGCAGUUAUGAAGGAUGGCAGGUCCAGAGGUUGCAGGCAGCCUGGAAAGCUGGAGGUAUAGGGAACAGGCAAUGCUGUAGCUUGAAGCUGCCAUCUGUCUGGAGGCAGAAUUCCCCCUACCUCGGGGACCUCAGUCUUUUCCCUUUAAAGGUCCUCAACUGAUUAGGUACGGACCACCCACACAGGACACACAUACUUCUUUGUUCUCUUAUUUGUUUGCUUCUUAGGGUCCCAACCUCAGCACAUGGACGUUCUUGGGCCAGGGGUCAAAUCAGAGCUGCAGCUGCCAGCCUACACCACAGCCACUGCCAACACGGGAUCUGAGCCACAUGAUCUAAUUAUACCUCACCUUGUGGCAAUGCUGGAUCCUUAAGCCCUCAUCAAAGCCAGUGACUGACCUUGCAUCUUCACCAACACUGUCAAAGUCUUCAUCCAUUAAGCCACAAACCCUGAGCCACAAAGGGAACGCCUUAUUUUUAGACUCUGCAUAUGGGUGAUGAUGAUAUAAGGAUGUGUCUUUCUCUGACUUAUCUCACCCAACACCACACCCUCCAGGUCCCGGUUGGAGGGAGGGAGCUGAGAGGGUCACCACCUCUCUCUCCAGGAAGCCGGCAUAAGACCCUGGGACACCCUGACCUCAGGCAUCUGGUCUCCAGGGCUGGGGGAGGGUGGGUUCCUGUGGUGGUAACCUGGGUGGUGUGUGGUCAUUUAUUGUCACAAGCCCACGAAAUACAUUUAUGGAGCAUACACAACCAAUCUCUAUGUCCGUGAGAAUCAACAAAUGCCAUCUUACAUUGUAGAAACACACCUGUCAGGAGACACCAGCGACAUGUAACUAUUUACACGGAAUAAGGGCCUCAGCCGUGAAAAAGCUAAGAGUCCAACCUGAGACGGUUGGGCACCACAAUGAGUCCCCAGUGUUGUC
RNAcentral lists this long non-coding RNA (4632 nucleotides) under Sus scrofa (pig). RNAcentral's name for it is "lncRNA (ENSSSCG00065072020.1)". Lineage: Eukaryota; Metazoa; Chordata; Mammalia; Artiodactyla; Suidae. The record is from RNAcentral.